Molecule: long non-coding RNA, 690 nt
Organism: Quercus robur (English oak)
Lineage: Eukaryota; Viridiplantae; Streptophyta; Magnoliopsida; Fagales; Fagaceae
Exons: 4
Source: RefSeq, a predicted model, not a curated record
CUUCAUAAUCACAGGCUCGGAAUCACUGCCUUUUAUUUUUAUUUUAUUAUUUAUUUAUAAAACUUACUGUAUAUGUAAGCUCCAAAAAGGAGAGAACCCUAGUAUCCUCUCUCACCUCUGUUCCUCUCACUCUCACGCCGCCGGCGUUCUCGGCCCGAUGCUGAUCUUUCCCAGCCUCCGCCUCCGUCGAUCUCGCCCCGAUGUUGAUCUCGUCCACGGAUCUUUGGCAAUAACAACCCUUCUUAGUUAUGGCUGUUCAUCGGCGCAGUUGACGUGAAAGAUUUGUGUGGAAAAAGAAGAUUGAGAGAGUUGUUGCCCAAGCUAUGAUGCUUCACAUGUUAGUUGAAGCUGAGAUAAAAAGAGAUAUAGAAAGGCUGAAAGGUAAAGAGAAAAGUAUUUGAUAAAUUGGAAACAACACUCUUAACAACCCGUGGAGCUUGUGCUUUUCAUGGCGGGGGAUUAACAUUGGCUGAUGAUUAUGAUUCUUCAAAGUUUAUGUUGAUAGUGUUAGUGUUAGUGUUAGUGUGAUACUCAAAUCCUCAAAUUAAUGAUUUAAAUUUAAUUAUGUAUUGUUAUUUUUUUCUUGUUGAGAUGAUCAUACACAGAUGGAGAGUAGAGACUUCCAAACACGAGUUGUCUUAUAUACUCAUUUACCUAGCAAAAAAGACGCAGAAUAUUUUCUAUUUUCUA